UUUAAACCGUUGAUUGAGAGUAGUAUCAUCGGAAGGUCGUUUUAAGAGAGCCGCAGGCGGUGUGAUUGCGGCAGCGGACGUCGGUGUGAAUGGACUCAUGAGGGCAAACUGAGCCGUAAGGUUAGGGGAGACGCAAGACCGUGCGUUAUUCGGUGCGUGUAUGUCAGUACAUUGCAGCUUGAGAGGCGUAAUUUUACGCAAUUUGGGUGGUACCGCAGGAAAUGAUCUCCUGUCCCAUUU
This 240-nucleotide non-coding RNA is filed under the name Ruminococcus sp. RNAcentral's name for it is "T-box sequence". It matches the Rfam family "T-box leader". From Rfam's summary of the family: Uncharged tRNA acts as the effector for transcription antitermination of genes in the T-box leader family. T-boxes are found upstream of many aminoacyl-tRNA synthetase genes and some amino acid biosynthetic genes usually in Gram-positive bacteria. Lineage: Bacteria; Bacillati; Bacillota; Clostridia; Eubacteriales; Oscillospiraceae. The record is from RNAcentral.